Molecule: ribosomal RNA, 792 nt
Filed under: uncultured archaeon
Lineage: Archaea
Description: bacterial SSU rRNA
Rfam family: Archaeal small subunit ribosomal RNA
Source: RNAcentral
ACUGCUCAGUAACACGUGGAUAACCUACCCUUAGGACUGGGAUAACCUCGGGAAACUGAGGAUAAUACCGGAUAUAUAGAGGCGCCUGGAAUGGUCCUCUACUUAAAGCUCCGGCGCCUAAGGAUGGAUCUGCGACCGAUCAGGUUGUUGGUGAGGUAAUGGCUCACCAAGCCUUUUACCGGUGCGGGCCGUGAGAGCGGGAGCCCGGAGAUGGGCACUGAGACAAGGGCCCAGGCCCUACGGGGCGCAGCAGUCGCGAAAACUUUACAAUACACGAAAGUGUGACAAGGCUAUCCCGAGUGCCAUCCGCUGAGGAGGGCUUUUACCCAGUCUAGAACGCUGGGGGAAUAAGGAGAGGGCAAGUCUGGUGUCAGCCGCCGCGGUAAUACCAGCUCUCCGAGUGGUGUGGAUGUUUAUUGGGCCUAAAGCAUCCGUAGCUGGCUGAGUUAGUCCCUUGUUAAAUCCACCGAAUUAAUCGUUGGAUUGCGGGGGAUACUGCUCGGCUAGGGGACGAGAGAGGCAGACGGUAUUUCCGGGGUAGGGGUGAAAUCCUAUAAUCCCGGGAAAACCACCAGUGGCGAAGGCUGUCUGCUAGAACGCGCCCGACGGUGAGGGAUGAAAGCUGGGGGAGCGAACCGGAUUAGAUACCCGGGUAGUCCCAGCUGUAAACGAUGCAGGCUAGGUGUUUGGACGGCCACGUGCCGUUCUAGUGCCGCAGGGAAGCUGUUAAGCCUGCCGCCUGGGGAGUACGAUCGCAAGAUUGAAACUUUAAAGGAAUUGGCGGGGGAGCAG